Molecule: ribosomal RNA, 617 nt
Filed under: uncultured fungus
Lineage: Eukaryota; Fungi
Description: eukaryotic LSU rRNA
Rfam family: 5.8S ribosomal RNA (bases 238-391)
Source: RNAcentral
AAGUCGUAACAAGGUUUCCGUAGGUGAACCUGCGGAAGGAUCAUUACUGAAAAACUUUUCAAGUUUUUUUAUAUCCCAUUGUCUACCUACCAUGUUGCUUCCACUGGGCAUGUUUUACCUAUGUAAAACCUUUGGCUUGUGUGAAUAACACAAGUUAAGGAAGUUGCCGGUGGCAAGACCAUCUACCAAAACUCGAUUAAAAAUACUGUGUCUGAAUCUUUUGCUUCAAUGAAAUAAAACUUUCAACAACGGAUCUCUAGGCUCUUGCAUCGAUGAAGAACGCAGUGAAAUGCGAUAAGUAAUGUGAAUUGCAGAAUCUCGUGAAUCAUCGAAUCUUUGAACGCACAUUGCGCCCUAUGGUAUUCCGUAGGGCAUGCCUGUCUGAGCGUCAGCUCCCACCCACUCAAGCAUCUUUUAUUUGGGAUUCUUGGAAUGAUUUGGAGAGAUGUCUUGUCAUAGAGACGUCCUCCAGAAAUUCAUAGGCAGUAUGGUUUUCACCUGAACCAGACGUAAUAAUAAUAAAAUCGUUUGAUUGGGAAUAAUUGUGCUUGCCUUAACCCACCCAUUUUUCUCAUUUGGGUGACCUCAGAUCAGGUAGGGAUACCCGCUGAACUUAA